UCUACUACAAACACGAAGGUUACCAAAAUUAGUUAUUUUUAGCGUAGUUGGCGACACAUUAAUUAAAUCGUCUGCUUAUGAUUCUGUGACAAUACACAGAUAGAAGCAAUUCUGGGAGCGAAGUAAAUACGGCCAUCAAACGCUAUUCAUGUCGAAUUCAAAAGAACGUUUCAUUUUAGGAGCGUAUAUAUUUGCAGCUGCUUUCCUCAUCAAGAAAAAAAAGAAAGGCUAAAAGAAAAACAUGGGCAAGACAAUGGCUGUUGAGACGUAAAACGCUGGGCUGCUAUGAAAAUUUAAUGCGUGAACUGGCAUUAGAGAAACUUUGUUAGGGGCUGCAAGAAUAUAACAAUUUUUUAGAACUGCUAGACAUGGAAAAGUUUGGGAACCUGUGCCUUAGAAGAUGAUAUUGUAAAGUUCAGUUUUGAACUAAUAAAUCUAAUAUCUAUGUGAA
Stegodyphus dumicola is the source of this 451-nucleotide long non-coding RNA. Lineage: Eukaryota; Metazoa; Arthropoda; Arachnida; Araneae; Eresidae. The record is from RefSeq and is a predicted model, not a curated record.